UAAUAAUAGUGAUUACACAAAAACAGUAUAUGAUAAUUAUGCACUUAUUAUGGCGUUGCCGAUCUCAAAGCCGGUAUUAUCUGUAGAUUCAAUCGAUUUCUUUGGCAGAGUUACAGUUCAUUCAGAUAAAUUAACUUCAGGUGUGGAGCUGAGCUCUACAGGGCUGCAUUGAAACAAAAAAAUAUUAGGAGGCUUCAACAUUGUGCCAAAUUGCGUCUUUCUCAGAUAGUCUCGCGUGGCCUGACCUUCAGACUGAUGGCAGAAGGUUCAGGAUCCUUGGCUGCUUUGAACGGCCAAGCCCCGCCCAAGAGGCCCUAUGACUGACAG
Molecule: long non-coding RNA, 327 nt
Organism: Cyprinus carpio carpio
Lineage: Eukaryota; Metazoa; Chordata; Actinopteri; Cypriniformes; Cyprinidae
Source: Ensembl